GGGGAUGACUUGGUUUCGACAGGGAGGUUGGACUUUCCGGUUGCAUGCCGAGGUGCCGUUGGCCUCGUAAAAAGCGGCAAAACAAGAAACGCAAAUAACGAUUUUGCAUUGGCAGCUUAAGCCUGCCCGUCCUUCUGCGGUAUUUCCGCGGCUUCAGCAAGGGCGACAAAUAGCGGAAUAGUGACCCGAGCCUUUUCGCAGGGCAAGGGAAGCGAAAUCAAUUGCGAAAAAGUGCGGGAGAUCCUGCUGCUGGGAGCUUGAGCACUCAUUAAAACAGACAGCUAAGCGUGUAGAUACCUGAUUUUCCCCCUUUUUGGACGCGGGUUCGAUUCCCGCCAUCUCCACCA
This 347-nucleotide transfer-messenger RNA is filed under the name bovine gut metagenome. It matches the Rfam family "transfer-messenger RNA". Rfam says of the family: Bacterial tmRNA, also known as 10Sa RNA or SsrA, is named for its dual tRNA and mRNA-like properties. Its role is to liberate the mRNA from a stalled ribosome. To accomplish this part of the tmRNA is used as a reading frame that ends in a translation stop signal. The record is from RNAcentral.